This 445-nucleotide ribosomal RNA is filed under the name uncultured bacterium. RNAcentral's name for it is "partial 16S ribosomal RNA". It matches the Rfam family "Bacterial small subunit ribosomal RNA", at positions 354 to 796 of the family's 1533-position model. The record is from RNAcentral.
GUAGGGAAUAUUGGGCAAUGGAUGCAAGUCUGACCCAGCCAUCCCGCGUGCCGGAAGAAGGCCCUCAGGGUUGUAAACGGCUUUUGACGGUGAAGAAUCGACAGGAUGCGUCCUGUUUUGACGGUAGCCGUUGAAUAAGCACCGGCUAACUCCGUGCCAGCAGCCGCGGUAAUACGGAGGGUGCGAGCGUUGUCCGGAUUUAUUGGGUUUAAAGGGUGCGUAGGCUGGAAGGUCAGUCAGCGGUGAAAAGCUGUCGCUUAACGAUAGUCUUGCCGCAGAUACUUCCGUGCUUGGAUGAGGAGGAGGCCACUGGAACGGAUGGUGUAGCGGUGAAAUGCAUAGAUAUCAUCCAGAACACCGAUUGCGAAGGCAGGUGGCUGUACCUUAAUCGACGCUGAUGCACGAAAGCAUGGGGAGCAAACAGGAUUAGAAACCCGUGUAGUCC